UGGGGAAUUUUGGACAAUGGGCGAAAGCCUGAUCCAGCAAUGCCGCGUGUGUGAAGAAGGCCUUCGGGUUGUAAAGCACUUUUGUCCGGAAAGAAAUCCUUGGCUCUAAUACAGUCGGGGGAUGACGGUACCGGAAGAAUAAGCACCGGCUAACUACGUGCCAGCAGCCGCGGUAAUACGUAGGGUGCAAGCGUUAAUCGGAAUUACUGGGCGUAAAGCGUGCGCAGGCGGUUUGCUAAGACCGAUGUGAAAUCCCCGGGCUCAACCUGGGAACUGCAUUGGUGACUGGCAGGCUAGAGUAUGGCAGAGGGGGGUAGAAUUCCACGUGUAGCAGUGAAAUGCGUAGAGAUGUGGAGGAAUACCGAUGGCGAAGGCAGCCCCCUGGGCCAAUACUGACGCUCAUGCACGAAAGCGUGGGGAGCAAACAGGAUUAGAUACCCUGGUAGUCCACGCCCUAAACGAUGUCAACUAGUUGUUGGGGAUUCAUUUUCCUUAGUAACGUAGCUAACGCGUGAAGUUGACCGCCUGGGGAGUACGGUCGCAAGAUUAAAACUUAAAUGAAUUGACGGGGUCAUAGCUG
This 580-nucleotide ribosomal RNA is filed under the name uncultured bacterium. RNAcentral's name for it is "partial 16S ribosomal RNA". It matches the Rfam family "Bacterial small subunit ribosomal RNA", at positions 355 to 932 of the family's 1533-position model. The record is from RNAcentral.